Long non-coding RNA from Ricinus communis (castor bean), 800 nucleotides. RefSeq lists it as uncharacterized. Lineage: Eukaryota; Viridiplantae; Streptophyta; Magnoliopsida; Malpighiales; Euphorbiaceae. The record is from RefSeq and is a predicted model, not a curated record. The transcript is spliced from 3 exons.
UUUUGCCUUUAAAGUAAAGAUGCAAUUCUUAGGCAGUGAUUGUAGACAUGUCAGCUUUAUUAGAGACAGCAGUAUUACAAACUCGUGUUAUUAUUUCAUCUUCAAUUCACUUUUGUGUUUGGUUUAUGCUUUUCAGAGCUUAAACUUUUGGUUAGAUAUGGAAGAUUGGCCUAAGCUGUCGGUGUUUGUGAUAGGGACCUAACCUGAGCAUCCUAAGUUAUUGUUUUGAGAGUUUACAAAAGAAACCAAUGGCUACAAUUACUGGUUUUGUCUGUUUGUUUCUCACCUGUGAAAUUGUCUUUUAGAAGUGGGAUCCACUAUUCAUUAAACAAAAAACAAUUGCUAAGGCUUCCUUCUCUACUUUCUUGCUAAGCUGGUGCUUGCUUCUUCAAAUUAGGAAUCAAUCCGAAGGAACACCUUUCUCUGUUCUUCGCCGCUGGCAAUUUUCAUAGCCUCUUCAAUGGCUUUGUGCACAUAGCUUUUUAAACUGUAAAAACAAUAUGGACGGUGCUUCUCGAUAUGAAAGGAACAUCUACAAAUAUAAUUCUCGGAUUGCAUUUUGUUCCGCACUUCUCCGUACCAAGUCGAAUCAAGUUUUUGCUGGUGAAGCAUAGACGAUGGUUCUAAAGGAAGCCCUUUCGUGGGUCAUUCAGAUGUUGUCUUGUCAACAGAACAGUGACAAAUAAUAUUGCUACUUUUGAGCAGUUUAGUGCUCUGAUUAGCGAAAGUAUUGAUAAAACUUGUUACUUGCUAAAAAUUGGUUUUAGUGCUAAGAAAAGACAGAAAAUGGGAAAUAAAAU